GACGAACGCUGGCGGCGUGCUUAACACAUGCAAGUCGAACGGAAAGGCCCUGCUUGCAGGGUACUCGAGUGGCGAACGGGUGAGUAGCACGUGGGUGAUCUGCCCUGCACUUCGGGAUAAGCCUGGGAAACUGGGUCUAAUACCGGAUAGGAGCCAUUUUUAGUGUGAUGGUUGGAAAGUUUUUUCGGUGUAGGAUGAGCUCGCGGCCUAUCAGCUUGUUGGUGGGGUAAUGGCCUACCAAGGCGGCGACGGGUAGCCGGCCUGAGAGGGUGGACGGCCACAUUGGGACUGAGAUACGGCCCAGACUCCUACGGGAGGCAGCAGUGGGGAAUAUUGCACAAUGGGCGCAAGCCUGAUGCAGCGACGCCGCGUGGGGGAUGACGGCCUUCGGGUUGGAAACUCCUUUCGCUAGGGACGAAGCUUUUUGUGACGGUACCUAGAUAAGAAGCACCGGCUAACUACGUG
Molecule: ribosomal RNA, 465 nt
Filed under: uncultured bacterium
Lineage: Bacteria
Description: partial 16S ribosomal RNA
Rfam family: Bacterial small subunit ribosomal RNA
Source: RNAcentral